Long non-coding RNA from Sinocyclocheilus grahami, 176 nucleotides. RefSeq lists it as uncharacterized. The record is from RefSeq and is a predicted model, not a curated record. The transcript has 3 exons. NCBI's taxonomy places the organism in Eukaryota, Metazoa, Chordata, Actinopteri, Cypriniformes, Cyprinidae.
UCUUAUUUUGGCUGACAUAAUUAACAUUUAGCAGAUUCUGAAAACUUUUGACCUCCACUGUAUAAAGAGCUGGAUGAUAUAUGUAUAUUUACUGUUGAGUAUAUUUACUGUAAAGCACAUCUGUUUCAUGUCCGUGUACUGCAUGUGUAUAAUUGUGUUUUUGACAUUGGGAUGUG